Molecule: ribosomal RNA, 703 nt
Filed under: uncultured Gammaproteobacteria bacterium
Lineage: Bacteria; Pseudomonadati; Pseudomonadota; Gammaproteobacteria
Description: bacterial SSU rRNA
Rfam family: Bacterial small subunit ribosomal RNA
Source: RNAcentral
UAAACGAUGUCAACUAGCCGUUGGGUCCAUUUANNNNNUUAGUGGCGCAGCUAACGCGAUAAGUUGACCGCCUGGGGAGUACGGCCGCAAGGUUAAAACUCAAAGGAAUUGACGGGGGCCCGCACAAGCGGUGGAGCAUGUGGUUUAAUUCGAUGCAACGCGAAGAACCUUACCAGCCCUUGACAUCCUCGGAAUCCCAUAGAGAUGUGGGAGUGCCUUCGGGAGCCGAGUGACAGGUGCUGCAUGGCUGUCGUCAGCUCGUGUCGUGAGAUGUUGGGUUAAGUCCCGUAACGAGCGCAACCCUUGUCCUUAGUUGCCAGCACAUAAUGGUGGGAACUCUAAGGAGACUGCCGGUGAUAAACCGGAGGAAGGUGGGGAUGACGUCAAGUCAUCAUGGCUCUUAUGGGCUGGGCUACACACGUGCUACAAUGGGCGGUACAGAGAGUUGCGAAGCGGCGACGUGGAGCCAAUCUCAGAAAACCGUUCGUAGUCCGGAUCGCAGUCUGCAACUCGACUGCGUGAAGUCGGAAUCGCUAGUAAUCGCGAAUCAGAAUGUCGCGGUGAAUACGUUCCCGGGCCUUGUACACACCGCCCGUCACACCAUGGGAGUUGGUUGCACCAGAAGUAGGUAGCUUAACCUUCGGGAGGGCGCUUACCACGGUGUGGUCAAUGACUGGGGUGAAGUCGUAACAAGGUAGCCGUA